This 309-nucleotide long non-coding RNA is filed under the name Gossypium raimondii (Peruvian cotton). Its description in RNAcentral is "long non-coding RNA (GRAI_LNC000591)". The record is from RNAcentral. Lineage: Eukaryota; Viridiplantae; Streptophyta; Magnoliopsida; Malvales; Malvaceae.
UAUUAUACUUUUCCGAUGCCCGUGAAUUUUGGGUCAUUACACAUGUCCUUCUAAAAAACAAAUGCCACAUAGUGAAGCUUUCGCAGUACCUCCAGUCAUCAAGUUACUUACCUUACCCGUUAAAUUGGCUAAUUGAGCCUCCAUCAUACUCGACUGGCCCUCAUCCAUUCGUUUACCCAAAUCGGACCUCCUGAGACCGAAUUGCUGUCUAUUCUGCGCCAUAUUAGCGAUCAAAUUUUGAGCUUGCUCAGGAGUUUUAUCAACCAAUGUACCUCCACUCGCGGCAUCAAUCAUUCCUCGAUCUUGUGG